AUUGCCGGUAACCUAUUUAAUCUGGAAGCACAAACCUCUCCGGUCCUUUCACCGACUGUGCUGCUCUCAGGAGAGGUUCAGGGAAUGGAAACGCAUUCUCCGUACAUAAUGCAAAACAACAUCAGCUGUUCAGGCAUUUCUACUGACAUGUUCUGUUCGGGCCAUAUGCCAUGUGGGGGACACCUGUAUGAAACAGAUGGAGGAUGAUGGCUGAAGUUUCUGCUUAUGCAGACUGUGCUGUUGCAACACCACAGUCUGCCAUGGCAGGAUAAUUACUUGAGAAAAUGAAUCUGAGAAAGGAGCUUGACAAGAGGAUUGCUACCAUCUGCAUCAAUUCACGUGUGAAAAUGCUCAAGGCUAAGAUAUUGCAGGAGCUGUAACAGACACCAUUGAACAGUCUUUGUCAAAGCUGAUACUUUACAGGUAAGCAAGACACUGCAAAAACCUGAUGGAGAUUGAACCAGUGGAAUAUUUCUCAUCCCCCCCCCCGAUGCCAAACAAACUUACUUGAAUGCCAUAUCCGAUCACUGGCAGUUUCAUCUGCCAAGAAAUAAACUAUUCAACUCCA
Long non-coding RNA from Siniperca chuatsi (mandarin fish), 568 nucleotides. RefSeq lists it as uncharacterized. The record is from RefSeq and is a predicted model, not a curated record. Lineage: Eukaryota; Metazoa; Chordata; Actinopteri; Centrarchiformes; Sinipercidae. The transcript has 4 exons.